GAUGAACGCUGACAGAAUGCUUAACACAUGCAAGUCUUUGACGAAGCUGUGCUUGCACAGCCUAGCCAAGGCGGACGGGUGAGUAACGCGUAAGGAACUUGCCCUGCAGUCAGGGAUAACAGACGGAAACGACUGAUAAGACCUGGUAAAGUCAGGCGGACUCAUGUCCAGCCUGAUGAAAAGAGAUGCUGCAGGAGAGCCUUGCGUCCUAUUAGCUUGUUGGUGGGGUAACGGCCCACCAAGGCGAUGAUAGGUAGCCGGCCUGAGAGGGUGGACGGCCACAAGGGGACUGAGAUACGGCCCUUACUCCUACGGGAGGCAGCAGUGGGGAAUAUUGGACAAUGGGGGCAACCCUGAUCCAGCAAUUCUGUGUGCACGAUGAAGGUUUUCGGAUUGUAAAGUGCUUUCAGCAGGGAAGAAAAAAAUGACGGUACCUGCAGAAGAAGCGACGGCUAAAUACGUGCCAGCAGCCGCGGUAAUACGUAUGUCGCAAGCGUUAUCCGGAUUUAUUGGGUUUAAAGGGAGCGUAGGCCGGAGAUUAAGUGUGUUGUGAAAUGUAGACGCUCAACGUCUGACUUGCAGCGCAUACUGGUUUCCUUGAGUACGCACAACGUUGGCGGAAUUCGUCGUGUAGCGGUGAAAUGCUUAGAUAUGACGAAGAACUCCGAUUGCGAAGGCAGCUGACGGGAGCGCAACUGACGCUUAAGCUCGAAGGUGCGGGUAUCGAACAGG
This 732-nucleotide ribosomal RNA is filed under the name uncultured Mycoplasma sp. RNAcentral's name for it is "bacterial SSU rRNA". It matches the Rfam family "Bacterial small subunit ribosomal RNA", at positions 28 to 776 of the family's 1533-position model. The record is from RNAcentral. Lineage: Bacteria; Bacillati; Mycoplasmatota; Mollicutes; Mycoplasmatales; Mycoplasmataceae.